This 457-nucleotide ribosomal RNA is filed under the name uncultured bacterium. Its description in RNAcentral is "bacterial SSU rRNA". It matches the Rfam family "Bacterial small subunit ribosomal RNA", at positions 1 to 507 of the family's 1533-position model. The record is from RNAcentral.
GUGACGAGUUUGAUCCUGGCUCAGAAUGAACGCUGGCGGCAGGCCUAACACAUGCAAGUCGAACGAAGCCUUCGGGCUUAGUGGCGGACGGGUGAGUAACGCGUGGGAACAUACCCAAAGGUACGGAAUAGCCUCGGGAAACUGGGAGUAAUACCGUAUGUGCCCUUCGGGGGAAAGAUUUAUCGCCUUUGGAUUGGCCCGCGUUGGAUUAGGUAGUUGGUGGGGUAAUGGCCUACCAAGCCGACGAUCCAUAGCUGGUUUGAGAGGAUGAUCAGCCACACUGGGACUGAGACACGGCCCAGACUCCUACGGGAGGCAGCAGUGGGGAAUCUUAGACAAUGGGCGCAAGCCUGAUCUAGCCAUGCCGCGUGAUCGAUGAAGGCCUUAGGGUUGUAAAGAUCUUUCAGAUGGGAAGAUAAUGACGGUACCAUCAGAAGAAGCCCCGGCUAACUCCGUG